AGUCCUUAAGAUGUUUGGGCCUUGAAGGAUGGGUAGGAACUUGCCAAUUAGAUGAUGGGAGCAAGGACCUGUGACAGUUGACCUACAAGGCAAAGUGUGCUCAGUAGCACCUGGAGGACUAGUCAUAUGAAUCCCAUGCCGCCUUCUGCAUGUCUUACUCUACUCAUCUGCAUGGAUGGAGGCAAGGAGCGCCAAAGCUUAGAAGAGAAUAGUGGUAAAAUUAAAUCCUUUCUACUUAUGCUCACUUCCUGGGGAGCCUCAACUACUUCUUCAUGUGGGCCCUCGAUUCUACAUGUUCAGAUCUGGCCUUUCUCCUGGGGUUCAUCAGACCUUUCUAACUCCAGGUAUUUCUACUUGGCUGUUCCACAUUUAUGUCAAAUGUACCAUGAAGACCCCAUACCACACACAGGACUGUCUUCCUUUCCCUUCUUCAAAAUUAGCUCCACUUUGGGCUUCCCUGAUAGCUCAGUUGGUAAAGAAUCCACCUGCAAUGCAGGAGACCCCAGUUCAAUUCCUGGGUUGGGAAGAUCUGCUGGAGAAGGGAUAGGAUACCUGCUCCAGUAUUCUUGGGCUUACCUUGUGGCUCAGCUGGGAAAGAAUCCACCUGUAAUGUGGGAGACAUGGGUUCAAUCCCUGGGUUGGGAAGAUCCCCUGGAGAAGGGAAAGGCUAUCCAUUCCAGUGUUCUGGCCUGGGGAAUUCCACAAACUGUGUAGUUCAUGGGGUCCCAAAGAGUUGGACACGACUGAGCGACUUUUACUUUCAUUUAAAUGAUCCGUGCCACCCAGAGCUUGUGCUCAUCCAGAAAGGAGCCAUCGGGGUCAUCUUUGAUUUGUCUCCUAGCCUUUCCUAUCUGUCAUCAUCAUUUUUUUUUUCUUGUUGUUUAAAUUUUUUUGUUUAAUUGGGGUAUGGUUGAUUUACAAUGCUGUUUUGGUUUCAGAUGUACAGUAAAAUGAAUCAGUUAUGCAUACAUAUACAGCCACCCCUUUUUAAAUUUUUCUCCCAUGUGGGCCAUUACAGAGUAUUGAGUAGAGUUCCCUGUGGUAUACAGUAAAUCCUUAUGUGUUAUCUGUUUUAUAUAUAGUAAUGUGUAUGUGUCAAUUCCAAUCUCCCAAUUUAUACCCUCCACUGGUGACCAUAAAUUUGUUUUCUAUGUCAGUGACUCUGUUUCUCUUUUGUAAAUGAGUACAUUUGUAUCAUUUUUUAAAGAUUCCACAUAUGAGUGAUAUCAUAUGAUAUUUAUCUCAUCAUCAUUUUCAAUCAUUCAUUAAAAUCCUCUUAGUCUACCCUUCAGAUAAUCCCCCCACGCCCAUUUCUUCAUUCUCCUUAUCAUUAUUACAUUGGAGUUAGGCCUUCUAUCACAGUACACCUAAACUGUUGCAUUAGCUUCCCAAAUCUUCUGGCCUCUAAUUCAGCCAGGCUGAAAUGUUUCCACUGCCUGCCAUGCUGAUACUCAAAGCCCCAGUGGACCUUAAACUUAAAGUUCUCUGACUGGUGGUGCUAGAUUGGACUCCUGUUUCCAGUUCUUCAGAGUGGGAUCAUGAACCUCAGCCUUUGCUGGGGAACUUUGCCUUACCUCUCAUAUGAGCAGAGUGUAAUUUUCUACCCCACUGACAUUGAGUUUAACUACAUAACAUGCUUUGGCUGAAAGAGCUGUGACUACAGUGUGGCAGAGAUUUGCUUGCGUGACUUUGUUUCUCUUGGAUCCACCCUGAGAAGAACAUGUCCCAGGCAGAGCUUAUUCCUCUAGCUUUGGCCCUAGAAAGAGACCCAUGAGUUAACUAGAGCCUAACCCGCAGUCCAAGGGAGAGCUGCCCUAACUGAACUAAUGACUUAAGAGCAAGAAAAAAAAAGGUUAUUGUAAAGCUCCUGGGAAUUGGGGAUGUUUGUUACACGGCAUUAGUGUAGAAAUAGUAAACCAAUACACAUAUGUUCAAGGCUUUCUCAAACACUCUUUCUCCUCUUUUAAAUACUCCCCUAUAUAAAGACUUGAUGCUGGUGAAGUGGUCUCUAAAACUUGUCUCCUUCACUUUUUUGAUUACUUUUAUCACAUUUUGACCUUCUCCUUGUCCUUGAAGGUCCCAUAUUGUUUCUUUUCAGUAGAUUCCUCUCUGAUGACCACAACUCUGAUCUCCCUUCUUCAGACUGCUUAGUGUCCUUGUCUUUUUUUUUCACACUUCAGGUUUGGUCUGAUACUGUUAGUUAUCGUGAAGCAUAUGUAUUUGAUCAUAUCAUAUAAUUCCCAUAUUCAAAAUCCUCCCAAGAGACUUCAUUACCUUCAGGACAGGGUCCAAGCUCCUUACUUUCUUGUCUCCGUUCCUCUGUGCAUACUGAGUUUACAUUUCCCCCAACACAGCCUGCUCUUUCUUGCCUCUGGGUCUUUGUGCAUCCUGUUCCCUCUGUCUGGACCACCUUUUCCUCCACUACUCUUUUAUCAACAUACUCCUGAGUUCAGGUAUAUUUGCUGAUAAGUUACAGAAACUCUCACAACCCUCUGUAGCCAGAUGAUGUUCCUUGUUUUGGCAACAGUGGGCUGCCCUGUGCUACAGAAAUGCAUCAGCAGCAGAGUCUCAGUGGCUUCACCAACAAAGCUGUGUUUCUCCUACUCAUGUCUGUGAUGCUGAAUGCAGGAGGGUGGGGAAGCUGUGCUUCACUCAGUCCUUUGGGGCCCAGGCUGAGAGGAGCUCUGCCAUCUUGGAUUUGCAUCAUCUGGACUUAUGGCCUUGUGCCUUUCUCCUCUCAGUCCACAGCCCCAGCUAGCCCCAAGAUCCCCAAAUAACUGACAGCAAGGUUGUGAAGUUCAGUGGGGCACAUGGGAUGUUUGGGGAGCACUAGCUCUCUAUCUCGGAGAAGGCAAUGGCAACCCACUCCAGUACUCUUGCCUGAAGGAUCCCAGGGAUGGCGGAGCCUGGUGGACUGCCGUCUAUGGGGUCGCACACAGUCGGACACGACUGAAGCAACUUAACAUAGCAUAGCAUAGCUCUCUAUCUCUGUGUGUUUCACAGGUGGGUUUCUGUGAACCUCCAGAGUUUAUCUUUUACCACACAUAAUAUCAUGGUAUUGUCUUGUCUGGAUCCAUGUGGACUUGACGAUCAUGGGGGUAGAUGCUGUAUCUGAGUUUUUGUCAUCUGUCCAGAGGCAAAUGCAGGACCUGAUACACCGUCACUGGUGUAGAAAUACUGUUGAAGAGAUGCUGAACCUUUGUGCCCCUCUGCUGUCUAAGAAGACUCCGUGCUCCCUGAUGGCAGGAACCACCUCAUCUCUCCCACAACAUCUAGUGAGCAUCUUCCAACGAAUAGACAACUGAUGCAUAUUUAGGGCAUUUUUAUGAUGGCUUGGUGUGAUUUUCCAACAGCUAAUAACUUGUGGUUGCACUUCUGUACAUAGAUAUUUCUACAGAAAUACAGCUUAUUCUACAGAAUAGAUUUAAAUGAUUUUCCUAUUAUC
Long non-coding RNA from Bos grunniens (domestic yak), 3445 nucleotides. The record is from Ensembl. NCBI's taxonomy places the organism in Eukaryota, Metazoa, Chordata, Mammalia, Artiodactyla, Bovidae.